AUUGAACGCUGGCGGCAUGCUUUACACAUGCGAGUCGAACGGCAGCGCGGGCUUCGGCCUGGCGGCGAGUGGCGAACGGGUGAGUAAUGCAUCGGAACGUGCCCAGUAGUGGGGGAUAGCCCGGCGAAAGCCGGAUUAAUACCGCAUACGACCUGAGGGUGAAAGCGGGGGACCGAAAGGCCUCGCGCUAUUGGAGCGGCCGAUGUCGGAUUAGCUAGUUGGUGGGGUAAAGGCUUACCAAGGCGACGAUCCGUAGCUGGUCUGAGAGGACGACCAGCCACACUGGGGCUGAGACACGGCCCAGACUCCUACGGGAGGCAGCAGUGGGGAAUUUUGGACAAUGGGGGCAACCCUGAUCCAGCCAUGCCGCGUGCGGGAAGAAGGCCUUCGGGUUGUAAACCGCUUUUGUUCGGGAAGAAAUCCUCUGGGCUAAUACCCCGGGGGGAUGACGGUACCGGAAGAAUAAGCACCGGCUAACUACGUG
This 484-nucleotide ribosomal RNA is filed under the name uncultured bacterium. RNAcentral describes it as "partial 16S ribosomal RNA". It matches the Rfam family "Bacterial small subunit ribosomal RNA", at positions 28 to 507 of the family's 1533-position model. The record is from RNAcentral.